UGAGUACGAGACGCUAAGGCAACGAAGUAGUGGAUGUCAUACUUCCAAGAAAAGCUUGCACUGUCAUAAAUAAAGAACGCCUGUACCAUAACCGACACAGGUGGGUAGGUAGAGUAUACUAAGGGGCGCGAGAUAACUCUCUCUAAGGAACUCGGCAAAAUAACUCCGUAACUUCGGGAGAAGGAGUGCCUUAUUCGUAAGGCUGCAAUAACAAGAUCCAAGCAACUGUUUAUCAAAAACACAGGUCUCCGCUAAGUCGUAAGACGAUGUAUGGGGGCUGACGCCUGCCCAGUGCCAGAAGGUUAAAGAAGUCGGUUAGCAUUAGCGAAGCUGGUAACUGAAGCCCUGGUGAACGGCGGCCGUAACGAUAACGGUCCUAAGGUAGCGAAAUUCCUUGUCGGGUAAGUUCCGACCCGCACGAAAGGCGUAAUGAUUUGGAUACUGUCUCGGAGAGGGGCUCGGUGAAAUAGACUUGUCUGUGAAGAUGCGGACUACCUGCACCAGGACAGAAAGACCCUAUGAAGCUUUACUGUAACUUGAAAUUGAAAUUGGACUUUAUUCGCGCAGUAUAGAUGGGAGGUGUUGAUUAUAAUCUUGCGGGAUUAUUGGAGCCAUCAGUGAGAUACCACUCUUGUAAUGUUAGAUUUCUAACUUUGAAUCAUUAUCUGGUCAAAGAACAGUUUCAGGCGGGCAGUUUGACUGGGGCGGUCGCCUCCUAAAUGGUAACGGAGGCGUACAAAGGUUUCCUCUGAACGGGUAGAAAUCGUAUCUAGAGUGUAAAGGCAUAAGGAAGCUUGACUGUGAGACCUACAAGUCGAGCAGGACGAAAGUCGGUCUUAGUGAUCUGACGGUACUGAGUGGAAAGGCCGUCACUCAACGGAUAAAAGUUACUCUAGGAUAACAGGCUGAUCUCCCCCAAGAGUUCACAUCGACGGGGAGGUUUGGCACCUCGAUGUCGGCUCAUCGCAUCCUGGGGCGGUAGUACGUCCCAAGGGUUGGGCUGUUCGCCCAUGAAAGCGGUACGCGAGCUGGGUUCAGAACGUCGUGAGACAGUUCGGUCCAUAUCCGGUGUAGGCGUUAGAAUAUUGAGAGGAGCCUUCUUUAGUACGAGAGGACCGAGAAGGACAUACCUCUGGUGUACCAGUUAUCGUGCCAACGGUAAACGCUGGGUAGCUAUGUAUGGAGUGGAUAACCGCUGAAAGCAUCUAAGUGGGAAGCCCACCUCAAGAUAAGUAUUCU
This 1239-nucleotide ribosomal RNA is filed under the name metagenome. RNAcentral's name for it is "bacterial LSU rRNA". It matches the Rfam family "Bacterial large subunit ribosomal RNA", at positions 1564 to 2814 of the family's 2925-position model. The record is from RNAcentral.